UAACUCGAUAAUCCACGUAUAUCCAACCUUCUCUUGACAUCCAGCAUGUGUACUGCCGUUGUAAGCAUACCUCUAAAAGAAAGUACGCCACUAUGACUAUAACUCAUAUACAUCAGGUCAAAGUGCAGCCGAUGAGAAGGUGAUGAUGGGUUACAACCCAAAAAUAGACUAUCAACUAAGAAAUAAAAAAUCUUACGAAAGUGGACUUGGCCGUAAUCAAUUUACAAGUUAAAAAAAUGAAUUAAUAUCUAAGACAUGCACACAUCGCCCGUCACUCUACCCUAAAGGCUAGAUAAGUCGUAACAAAGUAGGUGUAAUGGAAAUUGCACCUGUCGGAGUAUAGCAUAUAUAAUGCUUUUUACUUACACUAAAAAUAAAGUUAAUACUUACGCCGCCCACGUAAUCGCACCUUAAAACUAAUUUAUAAUACAAACAACUAACAUCAAUAUAGAAAAAGUACAGAAAUGGAAACAACAAUAAAUAAUAGUAAUUUUUAACAACUGUACCUUGUGCAUUAUGGUUUUACAAGAAAUCAAUUAAACACACAAAUCCCGAAUUCUAAAUGAGAUGUUAAACUGCUGUUAAGAACCCAUUAGUAACUGUAGAAAAAGCUUUAAAAGACAGUUUAACAGAGGCUACAUACCAUCCGCAUAAGAAUAUAGCUGGUUUUCAACAAACAUUAUACAUUAAAACAUAUAAUUAAUAUUAUAGUGUAACAUUAUUGAGGACAAGCCCAGUAAUCUGAACAAUAUUACAUCAAAUCUAUUCUUACAAAUAGGCUUAAUAUCAGCCAACAAAAAUACUUUACCGUAAUAGAAAUUGAUAUAAUACAUAAUGUAGCAUGUAAAGGAAAGUUGAAAUACUGGGGAAACCCACUUACCCACCCAUACUAUGUAAAAAUAAGUAUUAAUAAACAUAAUAUCAAAUAACCAGAAAUUACAACAAACUUAUAAAUAAUAACUAAUUAAGGAACUCGGCGAA
RNAcentral lists this ribosomal RNA (981 nucleotides) under Amynthas aspergillum. Its description in RNAcentral is "Amynthas aspergillus partial 12S ribosomal RNA". Lineage: Eukaryota; Metazoa; Annelida; Clitellata; Crassiclitellata; Megascolecidae. The record is from RNAcentral.